GACGAACGCUGGCGGCGUGCUUAACACAUGCAAGUCGAACGGAAAGGCCCUGCUUUUGUGGGGUGCUCGAGUGGCGAACGGGUGAGUAACACGUGAGUAACCUGCCCUUGACUUUGGGAUAACUUCAGGAAACUGGGGCUAAUACCGGAUAGGAGCUCCUGCUGCAUGGUGGGGGUUGGAAAGUUUCGGCGGUUGGGGAUGGACUCGCGGCUUAUCAGCUUGUUGGUGGGGUAGUGGCUUACCAAGGCUUUGACGGGUAGCCGGCCUGAGAGGGUGACCGGCCGGAUUGGGCAAGGGCUCCGGCGAAGCCUACAUAGGGCGGAAGUGGAGGGGAGUAUUGAACAAGGGGCGGCAGCCUACUGCAGGGACGCCGGGGGCGGGAUGUGGGCUUUGGGGUCGUAAUCCGCUUUCGCGUGUGACGAAGCGUGCGUGACCCCAAUGCGUAAAGAAGCACCGGCUAAGUCCG
This 466-nucleotide ribosomal RNA is filed under the name uncultured bacterium. Its description in RNAcentral is "partial 16S ribosomal RNA". It matches the Rfam family "Bacterial small subunit ribosomal RNA", at positions 28 to 505 of the family's 1533-position model. The record is from RNAcentral.